GUAGGGUGCAAGCGUUAAUCGGGAAUUACUGGGGCGUAAAGCGUGCGCAGGCGGUUAUGUAAGACAGUUGUGAAAUCCCCCGGGGCUCAACCUGGGGAACUGCAUCUGUGACUGCAUAGCUAGAGUACGGUAGAGGGGGAUGGAAUUCCGCGUGUAGCAGUGAAAUGCGUAGAUAUGCGGAGGAACACCGAUGGCGAAGGCAAUCCCCUGGACCUGUACUGACGCUCAUGCACGAAAGCGUGGGGAGCAAACAGGAUUAGAUACCCUGGUAGUCCACGCCCUAAACGAUGUCAACUGGUUGUUGGGUCUUCACUGACUCAGUAACGAAGCUAACGCGUGAAGUUGACCGCCUGGGGAGUACGGCCGCAAGGUUG
Molecule: ribosomal RNA, 374 nt
Filed under: uncultured organism
Description: partial 16S ribosomal RNA
Rfam family: Bacterial small subunit ribosomal RNA
Source: RNAcentral